Molecule: ribosomal RNA, 2897 nt
Filed under: Escherichia coli
Lineage: Bacteria; Pseudomonadati; Pseudomonadota; Gammaproteobacteria; Enterobacterales; Enterobacteriaceae
Description: bacterial LSU rRNA
Source: RNAcentral
UUAAGCGACUAAGCGUACACGGUGGAUGCCCUGGCAGUCAGAGGCGAUGAAGGACGUGCUAAUCUGCGAUAAGCGUCGGUAAGGUGAUAUGAACCGUUAUAACCGGCGAUUUCCGAAUGGGGAAACCCAGUGUGUUUCGACACACUAUCAUUAACUGAAUCCAUAGGUUAAUGAGGCGAACCGGGGGAACUGAAACAUCUAAGUACCCCGAGGAAAAGAAAUCAACCGAGAUUCCCCCAGUAGCGGCGAGCGAACGGGGAGCAGCCCAGAGCCUGAAUCAGUGUGUGUGUUAGUGGAAGCGUCUGGAAAGGCGCGCGAUACAGGGUGACAGCCCCGUACACAAAAAUGCACAUGCUGUGAGCUCGAUGAGUAGGGCGGGACACGUGGUAUCCUGUCUGAAUAUGGGGGGACCAUCCUCCAAGGCUAAAUACUCCUGACUGACCGAUAGUGAACCAGUACCGUGAGGGAAAGGCGAAAAGAACCCCGGCGAGGGGAGUGAAAAAGAACCUGAAACCGUGUACGUACAAGCAGUGGGAGCACGCUUCGGCGUGUGACUGCGUACCUUUUGUAUAAUGGGUCAGCGACUUAUAUUCUGUAGCAAGGUUAACCGAAUAGGGGAGCCGAAGGGAAACCGAGUCUUAACUGGGCGUUAAGUUGCAGGGUAUAGACCCGAAACCCGGUGAUCUAGCCAUGGGCAGGUUGAAGGUUGGGUAACACUAACUGGAGGACCGAACCGACUAAUGUUGAAAAAUUAGCGGAUGACUUGUGGCUGGGGGUGAAAGGCCAAUCAAACCGGGAGAUAGCUGGUUCUCCCCGAAAGCUAUUUAGGUAGCGCCUCGUGAAUUCAUCUCCGGGGGUAGAGCACUGUUUCGGCAAGGGGGUCAUCCCGACUUACCAACCCGAUGCAAACUGCGAAUACCGGAGAAUGUUAUCACGGGAGACACACGGCGGGUGCUAACGUCCGUCGUGAAGAGGGAAACAACCCAGACCGCCAGCUAAGGUCCCAAAGUCAUGGUUAAGUGGGAAACGAUGUGGGAAGGCCCAGACAGCCAGGAUGUUGGCUUAGAAGCAGCCAUCAUUUAAAGAAAGCGUAAUAGCUCACUGGUCGAGUCGGCCUGCGCGGAAGAUGUAACGGGGCUAAACCAUGCACCGAAGCUGCGGCAGCGACGCUGAUGCGUUGUUGGGUAGGGGAGCGUUCUGUAAGCCUGUGAAGGUGUGCUGUGAGGCAUGCUGGAGGUAUCAGAAGUGCGAAUGCUGACAUAAGUAACGAUAAAGCGGGUGAAAAGCCCGCUCGCCGGAAGACCAAGGGUUCCUGUCCAACGUUAAUCGGGGCAGGGUGAGUCGACCCCUAAGGCGAGGCCGAAAGGCGUAGUCGAUGGGAAACAGGUUAAUAUUCCUGUACUUGGUGUUACUGCGAAGGGGGGACGGAGAAGGCUAUGUUGGCCGGGCGACGGUUGUCCCGGUUUAAGCGUGUAGGCUGGUUUUCCAGGCAAAUCCGGAAAAUCAAGGCUGAGGCGUGAUGACGAGGCACUACGGUGCUGAAGCAACAAAUGCCCUGCUUCCAGGAAAAGCCUCUAAGCAUCAGGUAACAUCAAAUCGUACCCCAAACCGACACAGGUGGUCAGGUAGAGAAUACCAAGGCGCUUGAGAGAACUCGGGUGAAGGAACUAGGCAAAAUGGUGCCGUAACUUCGGGAGAAGGCACGCUGAUAUGUAGGUGAAGUCCCUCGCGGAUGGAGCUGAAAUCAGUCGAAGAUACCAGCUGGCUGCAACUGUUUAUUAAAAACACAGCACUGUGCAAACACGAAAGUGGACGUAUACGGUGUGACGCCUGCCCGGUGCCGGAAGGUUAAUUGAUGGGGUYAGCGCAAGCGAAGCUCUUGAUCGAAGCCCCGGUAAACGGCGGCCGUAACUAUAACGGUCCUAAGGUAGCGAAAUUCCUUGUCGGGUAAGUUCCGACCUGCACGAAUGGCGUAAUGAUGGCCAGGCUGUCUCCACCCGAGACUCAGUGAAAUUGAACUCGCUGUGAAGAUGCAGUGUACCCGCGGCAAGACGGAAAGACCCCGUGAACCUUUACUAUAGCUUGACACUGAACAUUGAGCCUUGAUGUGUAGGAUAGGUGGGAGGCUUUGAAGUGUGGACGCCAGUCUGCAUGGAGCCGACCUUGAAAUACCACCCUUUAAUGUUUGAUGUUCUAACGUUGACCCGUAAUCCGGGUUGCGGACAGUGUCUGGUGGGUAGUUUGACUGGGGCGGUCUCCUCCUAAAGAGUAACGGAGGAGCACGAAGGUUGGCUAAUCCUGGUCGGACAUCAGGAGGUUAGUGCAAUGGCAUAAGCCAGCUUGACUGCGAGCGUGACGGCGCGAGCAGGUGCGAAAGCAGGUCAUAGUGAUCCGGUGGUUCUGAAUGGAAGGGCCAUCGCUCAACGGAUAAAAGGUACUCCGGGGAUAACAGGCUGAUACCGCCCAAGAGUUCAUAUCGACGGCGGUGUUUGGCACCUCGAUGUCGGCUCAUCACAUCCUGGGGCUGAAGUAGGUCCCAAGGGUAUGGCUGUUCGCCAUUUAAAGUGGUACGCGAGCUGGGUUUAGAACGUCGUGAGACAGUUCGGUCCCUAUCUGCCGUGGGCGCUGGAGAACUGAGGGGGGCUGCUCCUAGUACGAGAGGACCGGAGUGGACGCAUCACUGGUGUUCGGGUUGUCAUGCCAAUGGCACUGCCCGGUAGCUAAAUGCGGAAGAGAUAAGUGCUGAAAGCAUCUAAGCACGAAACUUGCCCCGAGAUGAGUUCUCCCUGACNGUGGACGCAUCACUGGUGUUCGGGUUGUCAUGCCAAUGGCACUGCCCGGUAGCUAAAUGCGGAAGAGAUAAGUGCUGAAAGCAUCUAAGCACGAAACUUGCCCCG